CUUUAGGCAGAGUCACAGAUGUGUGCAGCAGGAAACACAGGCCCAUAACAGAGGAGGGACAGUCAUCUUGCUGGAGCACCAAUAGCAUCAGCUACAAUAGGUCACACAAGGCACCUUUAUCCUGGAGACCACUUGAUUCUACUGCCCAGAAUUUCUUCAUCCUUUUUGGGUUUUACUCUAGGAAACCGCAUACCGACCAUUUUAGCCCAUUUGAUUCACUUGGGGUUUCAUUUCUGUAACACAAGCUAAUGGUGCAUGCCAGAAUGUGCUGUAACCAAUCCAAAUGUCAGGUAUUCAAUUGAUAAAUGUUAUCUCAUGUUAAUAACUUUGAAUUGACUAUCCUUUAAUAUAACUUACAAAGUGAAAAUUCAGUGAUAGUAUUGAUAUUUCUGUCAUCAAUGUAUUUUUAACAAUUUAAGGGUCAACUCUUAAAUCCUUGAAACUCAUCAGAAAUAUCAGCUAUUGCUUUGGACUUUAAGGAUGCUGACAAAGACGAAAGCAAUCAGUUCAAUUAUUAGAAUUUUUAAAGUGUCAGUUUCGAAAUAGUUACAUCACAAAACAUGACAAAAAUGUAACAUAAUUUUCAAAAUCAGUGUAUUGUUUACAUAUGAAGCUAGAAAAACUAAUACCUGGAAAGUAAGAGAUAUAACUAAAAACAACACAUUUAUUACUCUUCUUUGGUUAAAUUGAGGGUAUAAUCUAAUACCUUCUGAUCACUUUACAAGUACUAUCUACACCUUACUCUGUUAAAAUACCUGCCUUAAAAAAGUGCCGUGGAAAUAUUUCACAUUAAUAGAGGCUGAGACAUGAAAACUGAAUGUAACAUUUGACCCUAAACUGGAGUGACAAAAAAAAAAAAAAAAAAAGUGCCAGUGGCCAAAAUUGGAAUUUGGAUGGUAAGUUAUCCUAUCAACAUUAAAUUGGCUGAACUGUGUUGUGGCCACUUAAUAUCCCAAAUCUUAGCAAGUGCAUGCUUAAGUAUUUAGAGGUAAAAGGCCACGAUGCAUGUAACUUACCUUCAAAUGGUUCAGAAAAAAAAGUAUGCAUCCCCAGAGCACAAAUACACAUGUAGUAAAGCAAAUGGAAUAAAAUGUUAUCAAUAGCUAAAUUUGAGUAGAGGGUAUACAGGAGUUGUCUUUUAUCCUUGCAACUUUUCUAUAUUUGGAAAUUAUUUCUGCAUUUGAAGUUAUUUUCAAAUAUAAAGUUAAAAAUAUACAUGUGCCUUAAUUAUG
Molecule: long non-coding RNA, 1232 nt
Organism: Herpailurus yagouaroundi (jaguarundi)
Lineage: Eukaryota; Metazoa; Chordata; Mammalia; Carnivora; Felidae
Exons: 2
Source: RefSeq, a predicted model, not a curated record